Molecule: ribosomal RNA, 449 nt
Filed under: uncultured bacterium
Lineage: Bacteria
Description: partial 16S ribosomal RNA
Rfam family: Bacterial small subunit ribosomal RNA
Source: RNAcentral
CCUACGGGUGGCAGCAGUCGAGGAUCUUCGGCAAUGGGCGCAAGCCUGACCGAGCGACGCCGCGUGCGGGAUGAAGGCCUUCGGGUUGUAAACCGCUGUCAGGGGGGAUGAAAUCAUGGUGGGUACUCCCAUCAUGUUGACAGAGCCCCAGAGGAAGCGCGGGCUAAGUUCGUGCCAGCAGCCGCGGUAAUACGAACUGCGCGAACGCUAUUCGGAAUCAGUGGGUAGACGGCAUGCGAAGGAGGGUGUGAAAUGCCUUGGCUCAACCAAGGCACAGCGCUCUAAACUACUUUGCUUGAGUGAGUCAGGGGUGCACGGAACUUCCGGUGGAGCGGUGAAAUGUGUUGAUAUCGGAAGGAACACCGGCGGCGAAAGCGGUGCACUGGGGCUUAACUGACACUGAGGCACGAAAGCCAGGGGAGCGAACGGGAUUAGAUACCCCUGUAGUC